GCAUUGCUAGCUUAGUAUGUCUAGCAUGGGCAUGCCUGCUGAAGUUUGGAACUUCCCAUCAAGGAAACAGGAAAAUGCCAUUGGCAAUGAGCUGAAGACUGAUUUACUCUACCAGUUUGGAACAUCUGUUAUUGCUGCUACUACGGUUUCUAUCACUGUUUGAUGCUGGGACUCUUAAGCUCCAACCACGUUUUCACCGAGCUGAGUCGCCUUCUUAUCACCCCUUUCUGGAGCAGCAGGACAUCUGGGGAUGAGAAGAUGGAGAGAUCAUCCUUAUAUAAUGUUGCAGUCUGGAAGCAUCACUCUCAAAAAGCCAUUGUAGAGAAUCCAAGCCGAGUUUAAGAGUGCUGUGGAAAUACACUGCUGCUACUGCUGUUUCUAUUACUGUUUGAUGCUGGGACUCUUAUGCUCCAACCACGUUUUCACCCAGCUGAGUCGCCUUCGUAUCACGCCUUUCCAGUUUUGAUAGACUAGAAAAAUGACAAGACUCCAAGUCCUUGAAGAGGAGGAAAAGUGUGAAGAAAACAAAAAAGGGAGAUUUAUGUCUGCUUCACCAUUUUGCCCAAGACUUGACCUGUCAUACACUGAAGCUCAGAGAGGAAGAAAGGACCGUGUGAGAGAAGAAGGGAACAGCCUUUCAUCCAUAGGAGAAGUUCGUCUAUGACAAAGCCACUAGCUCCAUGUGGCCGCUGAGCACUCAAAAUGUGGCCAGUCUGAAUUGAGAUAUGUUGUUAGUAUAAAGUCCACAUCGGCUUUUUGAGCACUUUGUAUGAGAAAAAAGAAUACCAAAU
RNAcentral lists this long non-coding RNA (791 nucleotides) under Homo sapiens (human). RNAcentral's name for it is "HSALNT0407026". Lineage: Eukaryota; Metazoa; Chordata; Mammalia; Primates; Hominidae. The record is from RNAcentral.